This 7170-nucleotide long non-coding RNA is filed under the name Olea europaea (common olive). Its description in RNAcentral is "long non-coding RNA (OEUR_LNC010953)". The record is from RNAcentral. Lineage: Eukaryota; Viridiplantae; Streptophyta; Magnoliopsida; Lamiales; Oleaceae.
GCACUCUCGCAUAUCUAAUAAGGGAUAUUGAUUUUGUUCAUCAUUUUUGAUAUAGUUCUCUUGAUUUUACAAGGUGUGUGAGAAUGGUGAGAGGAAAAACUCAGAUGAGGCGUAUAGAAAACGCCACCAGCAGGCAGGUCACCUUUUCCAAGAGAAGAAAUGGGCUGCUGAAAAAAGCUUUUGAGCUUUCAGUUCUUUGUGAUGCUGAGGUUGCACUGAUUAUCUUUUCUCCCAGAGGCAAACUCUAUGAAUUUUCCAGUUCAAGGUAAGAUCUAUGUGUUUUCGGUAAUUGAAUUUACUUAUAUUUUUAUCAAGAAAAUGCUAUUUUUCAUGCUGCUUGGAUUAAUGAUUCAGAUUUUUUGUGGGUUUUAUGAAAUGACCAAACUAGUAUUAAUCUGAAUCAGAUCUUACAGUUUUUAUCACCUAAAAAUGCCGCGUAGGGCUUCUGUCUGAUCAUGAUGAAAUUUUCUUUGUUGUUCGCUGUUAGGGUUACGACCAAACGGAAAAAUUUCCCAUGGAACAAAGAUCUUCAGAAAUGAACCAGCUUUCUCCCUAUUUGUUAAGAUAAUAAAUUCAAGUCCUUAUGCCACUUAUGAACAAUUUUGCUGCUGACUUAAGAACCCUAUUAAAAUUUUACAAUUUUGAUUGAGAUUCCAUUAAUUAAACCAAAAUUGAGGGAAGUACUACUGUUGGUUUCUUUUGGGUUUUGUUUAAUAGGAGGAAAUGAUUAGUAUUUAGCAUACUUAGAGUUAGUUUCUGCCUCUUAUCAUAAGAUUAACAUAAAAUAGUUGCUUAUAUAAUAGCAACUUAUAUGAUGUUAUUAAUUAAUUAACCCUUUGUUCGAAGUAAAUUUGAAAAUUUGAAGCCGGUUACGUUGAUAUUUAUAACACACUGCUAUAUCACUUUGAUCGCUAGAUCUACUUCUAUCUUUUAGUUUGACUUUUAAUACAAGGCAAAAGUAUGGGAUAUAAUCUUAUUACUAUGUUCAGAAUCUCAGUGUACUUCCAAGAAAACUACAGAGAACAAUCAACUAAGAUCACCAUGUAUUCUUAAUCGUGUUGUUUAUUUCCUAUUUCACUGCAUCACUAAUUCAAUUUACUCGUCUAAUCCCGUCCAUAUAUAUUUCAACUUGAAAAAUGUAAAGAAUAAAGAUAGAACCCUUCCUCUGUCUAUAAUUUAUUUUACUCUAACCUAAUCCCUUCCAUCAUUUCAACUUGAAAAAUAAAAGAUGACAAAUCAAUCCCUACUUAGUGUCUACAAUUCAAUUUACUCUUACUAAUACCGUUCAAAUGAGCUUGCAUUCAGUUUCAUUUUCAACUUGAAAAACGAAAAGAUAACCGGUAUCUAGAAGUAGUUUUACUCCUAUUAUCAUACUUUCACACAUACACCUUAGUGGGACACGGAAAUUUUUUAUUAAAUCGGUCAGUCUAAAAAUCCUUUGUAAAAAUGUCCCUAACUUGAGAGACUUGUAGGAUUUGACAACUUCUCCUUCUUGAUCAGAUGUCUAAGAAAAUAAGCUUAAUUCUUAUCUUUGCUUCUUCCAUGAAAAAGGGUAUUCUUAGGUGGAGUUGUUACUAAGUUAUUAACACAAAACAAAAUAGUCUCUUUCUCUUGAGGACGCUUCAAUGAGCUUGCAUUCAGUUUCAUUUUCAACUUGAAAAACGAAAAGAUAACCGGUAUCUAGAAGUAGUUUUACUCCUAUUAUCAUACUUUCACACAUACACCUUAGUGGGACACGGAAAUUUUUUAUUAAAUCGUUCAGUCUAAAAAUCCUUUGUAAAAAUGUCCCUAACUUGAGAGACUUGUAGGAUUUGACAACUUCUCCUUCUUGAUCAGAUGUCUAAGAAAAUAAGCUUAAUUCUUAUCUUUGCUUCUUCCAUGAAAAAGGGUAUUCUUAGGUGGAGUUGUUACUAAGUUAUUAACACAAAACAAAAUAGUCUCUUUCUCUUGAGGACGCUUCAAAUCCUUAAAUACCCUUCUCAACCAUGACCGAAAAAUAUAAUCAACUUCUAUAAUUGAGAUAGCUAUUAUAGGUUGCUUAUUCCAUGUCGAUGACACUAUCCAUGAGCCAAUGUUAAUAGCAUGUGCUGAAUUGUUUUUAUGAUCAUAACGUUACCAACCAAAUUGCUAUCAGUAUGACCUACCAACCAUAGUUAUAUCCUAAUCUUGUUGAGAAGUUCAUGAUCUAGUUUUUCUCACACGUGUUUGAGAACUUUCUUUCCAUCUUACCAAUCGUUUUGUUUUGGUGCUGCAAACAUGAGGUUUGGCCUUGUUGUGCUUUAGUGCAUAAGACUCCUCCCAUGGCCCGUGCUUAGUGUAGCUAAAAAUCAUAUUAUUAUUAGAUUUUGAUAAAAGUCGAUGAAAUGUUAGGUUGAAAAGUUGAUAAAAAUUGUGGGUUUCAUUUAAUAUGUAAUCCACAUCCGUUUUCUCAACUCUUUUAUUAUUGAUGCCUUGAAUUUAUCGCACAUCACAUUGUUGUUAGUUAUGAAAGUGAGAACAUGAACAAUCAACAAAUUUUUGAAAUACUAUUGUCUUCAUCUUCCUUCUUCGAGACUGCAUGUUCAUAGAGAAUACACUCUUUAAGACAAGUCAACUUUACAAGUCACUUGGAGCUUGCUUCAAUUUUUACAAUGCUUUCUUCCAUGGAAAAUCUUGUAUUCUUCUCCUUCCUUUUCAUCACCGAAGGGUUGCUUCACAUAAUUUUUUUCCUCUAUAAAGCCAUUUAAAGAUAUUGACUUCACAUCGAUUUGAUGGACUUUACAUUCUCUUUGAGUUGUUAUGGCAUUAAGUCCCUGUUUGGCCCCCAUUUUGUAAAUUCAUUUUCUCCUAGAGCUCAAUUUCAAUUAUAUAUUUAAUGGGAUCUACAACUUUUAUCUACUUUUCAAAUACAUAUUUCAUCAAUUUUUAUCAAAAUUUAUUAAAAUAUGUUUUUAGCUAAACAAAACAUGGGCUAAGUAAUUGGACUGUUUCAAUCUAACACCUCCAAGUCAAUCUCUUGUUUAAGAUUUCUAUGCUUUUACAACUAUGCUUGCUUUGUUAGCAUCAACUUCUCUUUCGAAUUCUAUAUUUUCUGCACACCAAUUUCACAACAGGCUUCUUAUCAUUUGAAAGUUAUGUCCUAUUUCCUUGGAUUGCAUCAAUCUGUUGAUUGGCAUUUUUUCCCUUUCCAUCUUAGGCGGUUUUCUCAAUUUUAUUGGUUUUUUGUCAACGAGAAAUAUAAAAUCUCUUGAAAGUUUUUUUUAUCUUUCAAAGUGGUUAAUCAUCACGAUUUGAACUUGAUAAAUUUUAAGAAUUAUAAGAGUUGCCGUUGCUUGCUCAACAUUUGGACUUCUUUUCUACUUCGAUUUCUAGAGCUUUUGCUUCUUCAUCCCAUUUUCAUGCUUCUUCUUCAUUAAAUUUUACAUAUCGACUAAUGAUGAUCUUGCUGUGGAUAAUGGGUGCAGAGAAAUUCAUUGAAGUCUUUAUUUUUUUGCUUAUUAAUAAGAAAAGUUCGCUGAUUAUUUUCAUUGAACGUGAAACUUGUUCAGCACACGGGAGACAAUAGAACGUUACCAAAGGAAUACUAAAGAUAAUCACACUGAAAACCCUUCGGAUGAACAAAAUAUGCAGGUUAUCUUCAUUUAAUUUUGUCAAAUACUUUUACAGGAUAGCAAGUUUUUUGCUACGUACCUUAUUAUCAAUCUAAUUAACUAUAGACAAAACUUGAAUGGUUUUUGUCACUGUAUUUAUUUGGAACUGCAGCAGUUAAAGCAAGAGACAGCAAGUAUGAAGAAGAAGAUAGAGCUUCUUGAAAUCUCUAGACGGUUCGUACAACCUGAUUUUUAACACUUAUUGCUUGGGAAAUUUUUUUCUAAAAAGCAUGUUUGGCUAAGCUUAAUUAAAAAAUGUAAAUUAAUUUUUCCAAAGUAAAUAAUGAGUAAUGUCGUAAAAAGUGAGAUUUUUGUACUGAAAAUUCAAAAUAACGAACUAGCAAAUGCUGGGCUAAGCUUUAAAUAAUUGAACUUAGAUCACAAGUUAAGAUUACAGUCAAAAGAGUAAUAUUUUAUACUUGUUAGAAAAAUAAUUAUGCAUUUAACAUAUUUAAUUUAGUUUAAUGAAUUUAGGAGUUUGAAAUACAUGUAUUAUUAAUUAAUAUGCACCUUGUUACAUGUAUGCAUGUAUUGUUAAUUAAUGUGUAUCUGGUAAAGUAUGGUGUAUGUAGUAGAAUUAAAUCGAGGAGAUGAACUUAUGUGAUAGGAAGUUCUAUAAAUACCUAUGUAAUCUUGAGUUGAAGACAUGUCCACAAUUAAAAAGAAAAUCAUUUCCUCCUCCUAAGUCCACAUCUAUUUCCUACAAUACUGAGAAGCAACUUUUAAGAACUUAAAGAAAAAGUUAAUUAAGAGUAACUUUUAAGCUUAACCAAACAUUCUUAACUGCAACCCUGUGUUGAAAAAUUCUAAACAAUGACCAUUGAUGCAUUAGGAGACUUUUGGGGGAAGGUUUGGGAUCAUGUUCUAUUCAAGAACUACAACAGCUAGAACAGCAGUUGGAGCGAACGGUCGGUAUCAUUCGUGCAAGAAAGGUAUUUUUGCAUAUUUAAGUGAUUAGUAUAUCUUCGUAAUAAAUUUCGUCAAUGAUCUGAUUAUUUUCUUUGUUUUUGAAGAUGCAAGUUUUCAGGCAGCAAAUUGAGGACUUGAAAGAAAAGGUAAAUUCCCUGAAGGAAAAAUAUGAUCACCUGAAGGUUCUUACCCUUUCAGUUUUGCCAAAUAUGAAAUAGGGUUAGGAUUAAUUAACUUGGAAAUACCAGAAUAUAAACUAAAACUUAGCCCAUUUAUCUUCUAUUUUUCAAUCACACAUUUCAUGGAACCCUUACUUUUAUCAACCGUCAACCUCACAUUUCCUCGAAUUUUAACAAAAACUUUUAUCAAAAUAACGGUUGAUCUGCUGUUUGUCAAUUAAGAUUUUUUUUUUUCCCCCGAAGACCUAUUCAAGUGUGUACGAAAAAAAUUGUAGUUCGUUUCAAAUUCAUUGGGAAUAAGGUUUACUAUUUUGUCGUAUACAUAUGCAUGUUGGCAUACAUGAGCACGAGUCGUGUAACAGAUUACCAGCUUCAGUAAAUGCUCAUACAAAACCUUUCCCAUCUUAUCAAAUGCAGGGAAAAGUCCUAGCAGUUGAAAAUGCAUUGCUGUGUAAGAAGGUGAAUCUCACCAUUUUCUGUGUAUAUUUUCUAGUUCAUUCUUUCUUAUUGUUUUCAUUAUUAUAUGAUUAUGUAAUUAUUAUAAAUCGAUUCGUUCUGUUAAAAUUUUGAGACAUUGAUUUGAGGUUUUGAUGGUUUAGUUUGGACUUGAACCACCACAAGGAUCAAAUGAAGAGAAAGCAACUGCAGCAUGUACAGAGAAUAGUGAAGUUUCAGAUGUUGAGACUGAAUUGUUCAUUGGACCUCCAGAAACCAGAAAUAAGCGUAAUUCUCUACAGAAAUGAUAAGACGAUUCAAAUGUUAAAAAGUAAAUUUUUACGAAUCGAUAGAAACGAUCGCUUGUUUGAUAAGAUGGGUUAUUGAGCACGAGAUGGUAUUAGAGGAAGGGGGGGAAAAUGAAGUGAAGUUGAUAUCUCAAGCAGUACUCAGUACCAUGCAUGUCUUUACAAUCUUUGUAAGUAAUUUCUAUUUUUAUUUCGCAUUGGAACAAUACUUGUACUAAAUAUUGCUGAACUUCCAAAAAAUUUUAUCUUAUGAGAGUAUCUCAUAAUUUCAAGUUGUCAUUUAGAUACUUAAAGACUCGUUCGAUAUGACUUUGCAAACUUGAAAGCUGAUAAUUAUGAGAUUAAGAAACUGUUUUAGAACAUGUUUAGAUAAUUUUUAGAAACUGCAUUGCCUGGCUCGAAGAGCUUUGUUUGGGAGAAUUACGGGAAAAUUGCAAUAUUGGUUCUCAACAGAAUCAUUAUAGAGAUUAUCAAUUCUUAUUAUGUUCGAUACGCUACAUUUUAGUUGUUUGUUGAUCGUCUUGAUCAGUUCAAUGUGUAAUCAAAACCUUUACAACAUAUCUGGUAGGAACGACUAGAAAGAAAAGAAUUCGAGACCUCAACCCUUAGUUGAGUCUAAUACUGCAUACAAAUUGUGCACUCUCGCAUAUCUAAUAAGGGAUAUUGAUUUUGUUCAUCAUUUUUGAUAUAGUUCUCUUGAUUUUACAAGGUGUGUGAGAAUGGUGAGAGGAAAAACUCAGAUGAGGCGUAUAGAAAACGCCACCAGCAGGCAGGUCACCUUUUCCAAGAGAAGAAAUGGGCUGCUGAAAAAAGCUUUUGAGCUUUCAGUUCUUUGUGAUGCUGAGGUUGCACUGAUUAUCUUUUCUCCCAGAGGCAAGCUCUAUGAAUUUUCCAGUUCAAGGUAAGAUCUAUGUGUUUUCGGUAAUUGAAUUUACUUAUAUUUUUAUCAAGAAAAUGCUAUUUUUCAUGCUGCUUGGAUUAAUGAUUCAGAUUUUUUGUGGGUUUUAUGAAAUGACCAAACUAGUAUUAAUCUGAAUCAGAUCUUACAGUUUUUAUCACCUAAAAAUGCCGCGUAGGGCUUCUGUCUGAUCAUGAUGAAAUUUUCUUUGUUGUUCGCUGUUAGGGUUACGACCAAACGGAAAAAUUUCCCAUGGAACAAAGAUCUUCAGAAAUGAACCAGCUUUCUCCCUAUUUGUUAAGAUAAUAAAUUCAAGUCCUUAUGCCACUUAUGAACAAUUUUGCUGCUGACUUAAGAACCCUAUUAAAAUUUUACAAUUUUGAUUGAGAUUCCAUUAAUUAAACCAAAAUUGAGGGAAGUACUACUGUUGGUUUCUUUUGGGUUUUGUUUAAUAGGAGGAAAUGAUUAGUAUUUAGCAUACUUAGAGUUAGUUUCUGCCUCUUAUCAUAAGAUUAACAUAAAAUAGUUGCUUAUAUAAUAGCAACUUAUAUGAUGUUAUUAAUUAAUUAACCCUUUGUUCGAAGUAAAUUUGAAAAUUUGAAGCCGGUUACGUUGAUAUUUAUAACACACUGCUAUAUCACUUUGAUCGCUAGAUCUACUUCUAUCUUUUAGUUUGACUUUUAAUACAAGGCAAAAGUAUGGGAUAUAAUCUUAUUACUAUGUUCAGAAUCUCAGUGUACUUCCAAGAAAACUACAGAGAACAAUCAACUAUUUUAGUGUACUUAUACGAGUCAUUUCAUGUGAUUUUUGGC